This 74-nucleotide transfer RNA is filed under the name Marmota monax (woodchuck). Its description in RNAcentral is "tRNA.Ala". Lineage: Eukaryota; Metazoa; Chordata; Mammalia; Rodentia; Sciuridae. The record is from RNAcentral.
GCGGCUGGGGCUCAGUGGUAGAGCACUCGCCUAGCAUGUGCGUGGUGGCGCUGGGUUCAAUCCUCAGCACCACA